Molecule: long non-coding RNA, 98 nt
Organism: Etheostoma cragini (Arkansas darter)
Lineage: Eukaryota; Metazoa; Chordata; Actinopteri; Perciformes; Percidae
Exons: 3
Source: RefSeq, a predicted model, not a curated record
GACAUAAAUGUUAUUUAAAUAUUGCACCUGUCAAUACAGAACGAAAUACUACGUAGCCUAUUUUGCCUUCAGUACUGCCGACGUUGUCUUUGCUGCUA